Molecule: non-coding RNA, 219 nt
Organism: Pelobates cultripes (western spadefoot toad)
Lineage: Eukaryota; Metazoa; Chordata; Amphibia; Anura; Pelobatidae
Source: the annotation of a GenBank genome assembly
GCUACGAGACCCAGAGAUAAAAGAGCAGAUUCAGAGGGAUAUAAUAGAUUACUUCAACACGAACAACACCCCGGCGGCUCAAAAGGCAAUGGUGAGGGGGACUCUGAUCAAACUAGCCACCAGAAAGAAUAAAAUGAAACAUCAAAAGCUAGAGACCCUCCUGGGACAACUGAGGACCCUCGAGCAGAAACUUUAAACGGCCCCAGACGAUGAGACAUA